This is a long non-coding RNA of Cyprinus carpio carpio, 1567 nucleotides long. Lineage: Eukaryota; Metazoa; Chordata; Actinopteri; Cypriniformes; Cyprinidae. The record is from Ensembl.
CUGGUGCUCGGAAGCUUCUUCUGCUGAUUAGCAUCUAGAUGGCAGAUUUCAGAGCGACUUCAAAUGGCUCAUGAUGCCGGAGACACACGGGACGACCAGCGUGAGACGUUACAAGAGCCAGAGAGAGACAGAGAGAGCAUGAAUUUCUAGACAUCUGCACACACAGGCGGUCUGAACACAUCACAAACAUACAACCACCACUCUUACAGAUAGAAACACAGACCUAAAUAACAAUGAUAAUCAAUUAAACAUGAAUAAGGUUAUUUUAUCGAAUGCAACAGUGCAGUAUCGCUAUUACUAAUGCUCUUAUAAUUAUAUUGUUAUUAUGAGGGAAAGGUGAUGUCCAAACACUUUUUGCCAUCAAUAUCAAGAUUUUAGGUAAAAAAAUCUACAGCAACACUGCAUUUUAAUGUGUCCUUGCUGCAUGUUACAUGUAUUUACUAUAGUAAAAACCCUAUAUUAAGUUCACUACUUCUGCUCAGUGCUUCUUUGUGUAAUUGCACUGCAACAAAGGACAAAUUUAAAUAAAGUGUGAGCAAAUUUACAUAUUUGCAUAUGGGAACAUAUAUAUUUUAUAUUUCCUGUAGCUAUUUGCCAUUGUUUUCAUUGUAUAAUUCUUGUAGUUUAAUUGAAUAAUUAUUGUGUACUGAAAUUCUUUUAGUGUAGUGAAGUGCAGUUUUUGUAAUUGUAGUACACUGUAGUUUAUGUAAUCCUUGUAGUGUAAUUGUAGUAUAAUUCUUGUAAUUAUGCUACAAUUAAAAUUGUAAAAACAAUUCUGUAGUGUCGUGUAGUAUAAUUCUUUAAGUGUAAUUGUAGAUAAUGUACGUCUUGUUGUAUCAUUCUUGUAGUGUAAUUUUUGUAGUGUAUUAUAAUUCUUGUGGUAUAAUUGUAGUGUAAUUAUUGUAGUAUAACUAUGAUAUAAAUCAUGUAGUUUAAUUGUAGUAUAGUUUAGUUAUUGUUGCAUAAUUAUUGUAGUGUAAUUCUUGUAGUAUAAUUGUACCAUAAUUUUUGUAAUUAUAAUACAAUUACAAUUGUAAAAUUCCUGUAGUGUAGUGUAGUAUAAUACUUUAAAUGUAAUUGUAGAUAAUGCACUUCUUGUAGUAUAAUUCUAAUAGUGUAGUUCUUGUAGUAUAAUUAUUGUAGUGUAAUUCAUAUAUUGUAUUAUAUUUUUUGUGGUAUAAUUGUAGUGUAAUUAUUGUAGUAUAACUAUAGUAUAAAUCAUGUAGUUUAAUUGUAGUAUAGUGUAGUUAUUGUUGCAUAAUUGUAGUAUAAUUGUACAAUAAUUCUUGUAAUUACAAUACAAUUACAAUUGUAAAAUUACUGUAGUGUAGUGUAGUAUAAUUAUUCAAGUGUAAUUGUAGAUAAUGUAGUUCUUGUAGUAUAAUUCUUAUAGUGUAGCUCUUGUAGUAUAAUUCUUAUAGUGUAGUUCUUGUAGUAUAAUUCUUUCAGGGUAGUGUAAUUAUUGUAGUUUAAUUGUAAUAUAAUUCUUGUAAUGUAACUCUUGUAGUGUAAUUAUUGUAGUGUAAUUGUAGUAUAGUCCAGUUUCUGUAGUUUAAACCUUUAGUGU